Molecule: long non-coding RNA, 921 nt
Organism: Musa acuminata AAA Group (dessert banana)
Lineage: Eukaryota; Viridiplantae; Streptophyta; Magnoliopsida; Zingiberales; Musaceae
Exons: 3
Source: RefSeq, a predicted model, not a curated record
AGUGACGCUUCAUUGGUUUGUUUUGCUUCUUCCAGUCACCGAUGGCUCCUCGCCUCCCACAUCUCGUCGUCGCCCCCAAGAUCGGGAUCCCGCCACAUUCGCGAUAGUCGUCGAGGAUAUGGGCUGCUGAACAGGAACUGGAACUGAUGUUGAGGCCAUCACAUAUAUUGAUUGCAUGGACAAUACUGCAAUUUUUUUUUAAUCAUCUGACUAUUAGCUUAUAAAACUGAUCUUGCGGUUCCUGUUCUGAAAAAUAGUUUAUGACAGUCACUCAUCUGUCUUUCAGGUUGGAUCAGAGGAAAUUUAUAUUGUUGAUCGAGACAUUGGAGUUCUUGAUGCUGCUGCUACUGGGGAAACAGAGUAUUGUUGGUCGACCGGCUUCAAGUUAACACCAGCAGAAAAUUUUGCGAGAGCUGCUUCCUGCACUGAAUGCCACCAGUUUGAAUAUUUCCUCGAUUCUGAAACCCAAGAUGGACAUGGGUUCCUCAUCCUCUGUUGCUGCUACUGCUGCCUCGGCAGUUGAGGCGCCGGAGCUGGGUAGUCAUGGGGGAGGAGAGGCCGGCCUUCUCGAAGCUGGACUCGACGUCGGUGUUGUUCUGGAGGGCCGCGUAGAGGCCGGCGAUGAGAUGAAGAAGUGGACGCCCGGGCCCACCUUCUCGUACUCCCGCAGUUGCACCGUGAACGCCAUCUCCGGCGAGAGAUAGUGCCAGGGUUUUCUGUGCCGGACGGAGCCCGGAGGGUUUUUGAUAGCGGGUUCCAGUGUUUGCUGGGUUGAGGCGGAAGUCGACGAGGCGAAGAGGGGAGGGAAGUGCGACAAAACAAAGCUUCUCCGUGGUGAAUAUGAAUAAUACUUAAAGAACGUUAUCAUUUCAUAACGUAGACUAUCGGCGGUCCCAUUUUUAUUAUUGACCAUUUCUUUUA